RNAcentral lists this small RNA (385 nucleotides) under Musa acuminata subsp. malaccensis (wild Malaysian banana). RNAcentral's name for it is "5' ureB small RNA". It matches the Rfam family "5' ureB small RNA". Lineage: Eukaryota; Viridiplantae; Streptophyta; Magnoliopsida; Zingiberales; Musaceae. The record is from Rfam by way of RNAcentral.
CUGCACCAACUGAGGGCAUAUAAAGUGGACAUGACAAUCUAUGCCUCCUGCAGUUACUAUCAUGCCCUCUGCAGCAAUAACUUCAGUACUGACCUGCAUUGAGAUAUACAAGAUCCAAACAUUAUAGCCAACAGAUUUGUUAUUGCUUUGAAAAGAAUAAAUCUUGCAUCAAACGUAGAAGAAAUACCCCAACAAUCAUGUUUGCAUCCACACAAUCCAUUACAUCUGGAUUUCCUGCCUUCCCAAUAGCGACAAUAUUUCCUUCUUUGAUACCAAUAUCUGCUUUAUAAAUUCCAGUGUAGUCAAUUAUUACAGCAUUCGUAAUAACUGUAUCUAAGCAACAAGAGGUUGGAUAGCCAGUAGCCUGCCCCAUUCCAUCACGUAA